Molecule: ribosomal RNA, 253 nt
Filed under: uncultured bacterium
Lineage: Bacteria
Description: partial 16S ribosomal RNA
Rfam family: Bacterial small subunit ribosomal RNA
Source: RNAcentral
UACAGAGGUCUCAAGCGUUGUUCGGAUUCAUUGGGCGUAAAGGGUGUGUAGGUGGCGCGCUAAGUCGGGUGUGAAAUUUCGGAGCUUAACUCCGAAACUGCAUUCGAUACUGGCGUGCUUGAGGACUGGAGAGGAGACUGGAAUUCAUGGUGUAGCAGUGAAAUGCGUAGAGAUCAUGAGGAAGACCAGUGGCGAAGGCGGGUCUCUGGACAGUUCCUGACGCUGAGGCGCGAAAGCUAGGGGAGCGAACGGG